RNA transcript from Zea mays, 4513 nucleotides. It is a transcript of the gene named mitogen-activated protein kinase kinase kinase 5, with no coding region annotated. The record is from RefSeq and is a predicted model, not a curated record. Lineage: Eukaryota; Viridiplantae; Streptophyta; Magnoliopsida; Poales; Poaceae. The transcript is spliced from 6 exons.
GAAAAACCAAGAUCCCCAACGAGCUAUCACAUUCGGGGAUGGAAAUCAAGGUUUGGUCAAAGGACUUGGUAAAAUUGCUAUAUCUCCUGACCAUUCUAUUUCCAAUGUUUUUCUUGUUGAUUCUUUAGAUUACAACUUGCUUUCUGUUUCCCAAUUAUGUCAAAUGGGCUACAACUGUCUUUUUACUGAUGUAGGUGUCACUGUCUUUAGAAGAAGUGAUGAUUCAAUAGCAUUUAAGGGAGUGUUAGAGGGUCAGCUAUACUUGGUAGACUUUGAUAGAGCUGAACUCGACACUUGCUUAAUUGCUAAGACUAACAUGGGCUGGCUCUGGCAUCGCCGACUAGCACAUGUUGGGAUGAAGAAUCUUCACAAGCUUCUAAAGGGAGAACACAUUUUAGGAUUAACAAAUGUUCAUUUUGAGAAAGACAGGAUUUGUAGCGCAUGUCAAGCCGGGAAGCAAGUUGGAACCCAACAUCCACACAAAAACAUCAUGACGACCGACAGGCCGCUUGAGCUACUCCACAUGGAUCUAUUCGGCCCGAUUGCUUACAUAAGCAUCGGCGGGAGUAAGUAUUGUCUUGUUAUUGUGGAUGAUUAUUCUCGCUUCACUUGGGUAUUCUUUUUGCAGGAAAAAUCUCAAACCCAAGAGACCCUAAAGGGAUUCUUGAGACGGGCUCAAAAUGAGUUCGGCUUAAGGAUCAAGAAAAUAAGAAGCGACAACGGAACGGAGUUCAAGAAUUCUCAAAUUGAAGGCUUCCUUGAGGAGGAGGGCAUCAAGCAUGAGUUCUCUUCUCCCUACACGCCUCAACAAAAUGGUGUGGUGGAGAGGAAGAAUAGAACUCUAUUAGACAUGGCAAGGACCAUGCUUGAUGAGUACAAGACUUCGGAUCGGUUUUGGGCCGAAGCAGUCAACACCGCUUGCUACGCCAUCAACCGGUUAUAUCUACACCGAAUCCUCAAGAAGACAUCAUAUGAACUCCUAACUGGUAAAAAGCCCAACAUUUCAUAUUUUAGAGUCUUUGGUAGCAAAUGCUUUAUUCUUGUUAAGAGAGGUAGAAAAUCUAAAUUUGCUCCCAAGACUGUAGAAGGCUUUUUACUUGGUUAUGACUCAAACACAAAGGCAUAUAGGGUCUUUAACAAGUCCACUGGACUAGUUGAAGUCUCAUGUGACGUUGUGUUUGAUGAGACUAACGGCUCUCAAGUAGAGCAAGUUGAUCUUGAUGAGAUAGGUGAAGAAGAGGCUCCAUGCAUCGCGCUAAGGAACAUGUCCAUUGGGGAUGUGUGUCCUAAGGAAUCCGAAGAGCCUCCAAAUGCACAAGAUCAACCAUCCUCCUCCAUGCAAGCAUCUCCACCGACUCAAAAUGAGGAUGAAGCUCAAGAUAAUGAAGUAGAAGAUCAAGCAAAUGAGCCACCUCAAGAUGAUGGCAUUGAUCAAGGGGGAGAUGCAAAUGAUGAAGACAAGGAGGAUGAGGAACCAAGACCGCCACACCCAAGAGUCCACCAAGCAAUCCAACGAGAUCACCCCGUCGACACCAUCCUCGGCGACAUUCAUAAGGGGGUAACUACUCGAUCUCGUGUUGCACAUUUUUGUGAACAUUACUCGUUUGUUUCCUCUAUUGAGCCACACAGGGUAGAGGAAGCACUUCAAGAUUCGGAUUGGGUGGUGGCGAUGCAAGAGGAGCUCAACAACUUCACGAGAAAUGAGGUAUGGCAUUUAGUUCCACGUCCUAACCAAAAUGUUGUAGGAACCAAAUGGGUCUUCCGCAACAAGCAAGAUGAGCAUGGUGUGGUGACAAGGAACAAAGCUCGACUCGUGGCCAAAGGGUAUUCACAAGUCGAAGGUUUGGAUUUCGGUGAAACCUAUGCACCCGUAGCUAGGCUUGAGUCAAUUCGCAUAUUAUUGGCCUAUGCUACUUACCAUGGCUUUAAGCUCUAUCAAAUGGACGUGAAAAGUGCCUUCCUCAACGGACCAAUCAAGGAAGAGGUCUAUGUUGAGCAACCUCCCGGCUUUGAAGACAGUGAGUACCCUAACCAUGUCUAUAGGCUCUCUAAGGCGCUUUAUGGGCUCAAGCAAGCCCCAAGAGCAUGGUAUGAAUGCUUAAGAGAUUUCCUUAUUUCUAAUGGCUUCAAAGUCGGCAAGGCCGAUCCUACACUCUUUACUAAAACUCUUGAAAAUGACUUGUUUGUAUGUCAAAUUUAUGUUGAUGAUAUUAUAUUUGGGUCUACUAACGAGUCUACAUGUGAAGAGUUUAGUAGGAUCAUGACACAGAAAUUCGAGAUGUCGAUGAUGGGGGAGUUGAAGUAUUUUCUAGGAUUCCAAGUCAAGCAACUCCAAGAGGGCACCUUCAUUUGCCAAACGAAGUACACUCAAGACAUUCUAACCAAGUUUGGAAUGAAGGAUGCCAAGCCCAUCAAGACACCUAUGGGAACCAAUGGGCAUCUCGACCUCGACACGGGAGGUAAAUCCGUCGAUCAAAAGGUAUACCGGUCGAUGAUUGGUUCAUUGCUUUAUUUAUGUGCAUCUCGACCGGAUAUUAUGCUUUCCGUUUGCAUGUGUGCAAGAUUUCAAUCCGACCCUAAGGAAUCCCACCUUACGGCCGUAAAACGAAUCUUGAGAUAUUUAGCUUAUACUCCUAAGUUUGGGCUUUGGUACCCUCGGGGAUCCACUUUUGAUUUGAUUGGUUAUUCGGAUGCCGAUUGGGCAGGGUGUAAGAUUAAUAGGAAGAGCACAUCGGGGACUUGCCAGUUCUUGGGAAGAUCCUUGGUGUCUUGGGCUUCAAAGAAGCAAAAUUCGGUCGCUCUUUCCACCGCCGAAGCCGAGUACAUUGCCGCAGGCCAUUGUUGCGCGCAAUUGCUUUGGAUGAGGCAAACCCUGCGGGACUACGGUUACAAAUUAACCAAAGUUCCUUUACUAUGUGAUAAUGAGAGUGCAAUCAAAAUGGCCGACAACCCCGUCGAGCAUAGCCGCACUAAGCACAUAGCCAUUCGGUAUCAUUUUCUUAGGGAUCACCAACAAAAGGGAGAUAUCGAGAUUUCUUACAUUAACACUAAAGAUCAAUUAGCCGAUAUCUUUACCAAGCCUCUUGAUGAACAAUCUUUUACCAGACUUAGGCAUGAGCUCAAUAUUCUUGAUUCUAGAAAUUUCUUUUGCUAAGCUUGCACACAUAGCUCAUAAAUAUACCUUUGAUCAUGUCUCUUUCAUAUGCUAUGACUAAUGCGUUUUUCAAGUCUAUUUCAAACCAAGUCAUAGGUGUAUUGAAAAGGAAUUGGAGUCUUCGGCGAAGACAAAGGCUUCCACUCCGUAACUCAUCCUUCGCCAUCACUCCAAGAAAAGGACCUUGUCUUUGGGGGAGAGAGUAAAAGCCCAAAGCAAAAGGACCGGACUUCGUCUUUGUUGAGUGCUGCUGCUCCUAAUCUUUCAUUGAAGGGAACACCAUACUGGAUGGCUCCUGAGGUUGUUCGGGCUACACUUGAUAAACGUGCAGGUUAUGAUCUUGCUGUUGAUAUUUGGAGCCUUGGUUGCACAAUCAUUGAGAUGUUUACAGGAAAGCCACCUUGGAGUGGUCUUGAAGGGCCUGCUGCAAUGUUUAAGGUUUUGCACACGGACCCACCAAUUCCAGAUAAUAUGUCCCCUGAAGGGAAGGAUUUUCUGAGAUGCUGCUUAAAGAGAAACCCUACUGAGCGACCAACAGCAACCAAGUUGCUCGAACACCCAUUUAUACGAACUUCGAAUCACUACAGCCCGCGUAAUUCAAUUUUGGGAAUUAAAUCUCCAGAUACUGUGCGCAGCGCUGCAAGAGAUAAAGUACCCUGGAAAAAUGAUUCAUGUAAGAGAGGGAAACAUGCAAAUGGUGAAACAAGCAGUGCUCGGUCGUCAGGGUCAUUGACUUAUCGAUUGAUGACACCUCUACCCAACUUGGGAACCAAUAGCUUGUCACCUCCACCUUUGAGUUCGGCUUCCAAUUCUGGCUCUGCAGCACAUACACCGAAAAUUAUGCAUUUUUCAGUCGCAUACCAUCGGCCUAGUCCUUUGCCAAAGCCUAACGGGAAGGAAGCAAUAAAUUUGAUUUCACAUUGAAUAACAACAUGGCAGCUAUCACAACAUCUGGGCCAAAAGCCACAUAACCCUUGCGCUGUUACUCAUAGCUGACAAUUUUUGGGUCUCGUAAAAAAUAUUUUCCAUGUAAAAAGAUUACCACUAUAUGAUCAUAGGGAAAUGCUGCUAAAUGGAGGAGCCCUGUGAGGUCUGUUGUACUGUUUGAUUUCUGAGGAAAUGAUUGUAUUUUCCAUGUAACAUGUUUAUUAGGGUGUAGCUGUAGGUAAAACUAAUGGUCCUGAUUCUGCCGACAGAUAGGACAUUAGGGUUAUAGUUGUAGCGUGUUGUUGUUGUUGUUGUUGAUGUUGUGUAAUGAGCAUACUUAUGUAAUCGUUAUUGAUUUUUUUGGGGCCGUGUAAUAAUACACGUCAAUUGUCAAACGGGGAUUGAGAUUAAAGAUCUAUGUUACUUUCAUGA